Molecule: ribosomal RNA, 262 nt
Filed under: uncultured bacterium
Lineage: Bacteria
Description: partial 16S ribosomal RNA
Rfam family: Bacterial small subunit ribosomal RNA
Source: RNAcentral
GUCCACGCCGUAAACGAUGUCAACUAGCCGUUGGAGACCUUAGAGUCUUUAGUGGCGCAGCUAACGCACUAAGUUGACCGCCUGGGGAGUACGGCCGCAAGGUUAAACUCAAAUGAAUUGACGGGGCCCGCACAAGCGGUGGAGCAUGUGGUUUAAUUCGAUGCAACGCGAAGAACCUUACCGCCCCUUGACAUCCUGGGAACUCGCUAGAGAUAGCUUGGUGCCGAAAGGAGCCCAGAGACAGGUGCUGCAUGGCUGUCGU